This 386-nucleotide ribosomal RNA is filed under the name uncultured Pseudomonas sp. RNAcentral describes it as "bacterial SSU rRNA". It matches the Rfam family "Bacterial small subunit ribosomal RNA", at positions 995 to 1382 of the family's 1533-position model. The record is from RNAcentral. Lineage: Bacteria; Pseudomonadati; Pseudomonadota; Gammaproteobacteria; Pseudomonadales; Pseudomonadaceae.
AGAGAGUGGAGUUGGUGUCCGUUCGGGAACUCUGACACGAGGUGCUGCAGUGGCUGUCGUCAGCUCGUGUCGUGAGAUGGUUGGUAAGUCCCGUAACGAGCGCAACCCUUGUCCUUAGUUACCAGCACGUUAUGGUGGGCACUCUAAGGAGACUGCCGGUGACAAACCGGAGGAAGGUGGGGAUGACGUCAAGUCAUCAUGGCCCUUACGGCCUGGGCUACACACGUGCUACAAUGGUCGGUACAAAGGGUUGCCAAGCCGCGAGGUGGAGCUAAUCCCAUAAAACCGAUCGUAGUCCGGAUCGCAGUCUGCAACUCGACUGCGUGAAGUCGGAAUCGCUAGUAAUCGUGAAUCAGAAUGUCACGGUGAAUACGUUCCCGGGCCUU